AGCAUGUUUGAUGUCUGUGUCAGUUCCCCACCUCCCUAAAGACAGUAACAUGUAACCCCACCCGUACCUUGUUUCAUUGUGAAGUGAUGUCUUCUGGGACUUAAAGUCCCCCUGCUUUCCAGAGAAUCUGUGUACCAUGCAUUAAGGUAAGCAGAGAGACUUCUAGUCCCAGAAUGCAUCACUGUGGAACAAAGUGAGGGAGGGGGUUGCAUUACACUCUCAGCAAAAGGAAUCUUGGGAAACAGCUUGUUUGAGUUAUCAUGGUGUCAUUUUAUCUGUGGAAUCAGGUAUCUGUUUAAUUUCUGAAUCGUACCGUUAUUUUUUAUGGUGGUGUGCACUGGAUGUUCUCUUUAGUGAAGUAGAUUGAAAAGCGGACCUUAGAUGCAAAAAGCUGCCUGGGCCCGAAGAAAAGAAGAAAGAAACUAAAGAAGACUGUGGCAUAUGAGCUCCUACAGAAAUACCCCAUGCUGGUGCAGUUUUAAGUGAACAGGAGCUCAGGCCCAGAUUAUCAGGCUUAUUAAGAAGCAUGAAAGGAAGUAAAACAAAAGUAUGGAAUGAAUGCACAACUGGCUUAUAUUUCUCAAGUCAUGAGAUGAAAAGAAAAAUUACAAUCCUUAUAUCAGAAGGCAACUGUCCUUACAAAAAUGCAUCAAACACAUUGAAAUAUAAUGCAGAGAUAGCAGAGCUGAAAUGAAUCACUGUAUAAUUGAGAAAAAUAUAAGGGGCCAGAUGUCUCUGAAUAAGAAAUAUAUAAUUGGCCAGAUGUCUUUGUCAAGAAGAAGUAAAGUACUACAAUUAUGCAUUGAGGAAUCAUCCUCAUCCAGCUCAAAAAGGGCCACAGUCACCCCAAAGCCUCAGGACUGAGACCUCGAAAGAACACUUUCCAUAUGAAGACUGCUGCAAUUGUGAAUUCAAUAUUAAGCACCCUGGGCUGCGUGAAACCUCCUUUACUGACAAUUAGUUGUCACAAAAUAGGAUUGUGUGGUGAUAGUUGUUUCCACCACUACUAGAGAAAAAGAAAAAUAUAAAAAGCACUAAAACAUAAAGAAUAUAACAUUUGUACAAAUUAAAAUUAUGCUAUGAAAAAAAAAUGAAACUACACAAUGCGCUGAAGUUAAUUUCUCAUUUUAUAAUUAUGCUCCAGGGUUAAUAGAUGUAAACGAUAGGUGAAAAUACAAUCUCUUUUGUGUAGAAGCACACUAUCAGAUUGUGGCAAAAUAAAAAUAAUGUUUCCUUU
Xenopus tropicalis (tropical clawed frog) is the source of this 1237-nucleotide long non-coding RNA. RefSeq lists it as uncharacterized. The transcript is spliced from 4 exons. NCBI's taxonomy places the organism in Eukaryota, Metazoa, Chordata, Amphibia, Anura, Pipidae. The record is from RefSeq and is a predicted model, not a curated record.